CUGACGAGUUAGAGUGUGAAUAUGGGAGUGUGGCUCUGUGCGUGCGUGAUGAGCGCCAGACAGAUUCGUGGAAGAAACUGGGUGGCUGUGUGUUUGUGUGUGAUUGUGCGCACCGGAUAUGGCCAUGUGAGUUGGUUCAUUCUUGGUCCCGUGCCCCUUCUGUUGGGUAAAACUUGGAUCUGGUCCGAGGAGUGAACAGGAAGAGUAAUGAAGUUUAUUGAUCUAAUGGAAACUUGUGACCAGAUUCAUGAUCAAAACCUGGAUCGAAACCUGGAAGAAUGCACUUGAAAACUGUGCACUUCUCAUUUUCC
Ailuropoda melanoleuca (giant panda) is the source of this 311-nucleotide long non-coding RNA. RefSeq lists it as uncharacterized. The record is from RefSeq and is a predicted model, not a curated record. NCBI's taxonomy places the organism in Eukaryota, Metazoa, Chordata, Mammalia, Carnivora, Ursidae. The transcript is spliced from 3 exons.